Long non-coding RNA from Lucilia cuprina (Australian sheep blowfly), 1344 nucleotides. RefSeq lists it as uncharacterized. The record is from RefSeq and is a predicted model, not a curated record. The transcript has 2 exons. Lineage: Eukaryota; Metazoa; Arthropoda; Insecta; Diptera; Calliphoridae.
CAAACAUAGCGAACGGUUUAACAAACGGCGGACUGUAUUUCUAUUCGUCGUUUUAAGUUUAUAGCGUUUUUGGUGUUGUUGUAAAAAUAACGUUUUACGUAAAAACGAAAAUAAAUUCUAACGACAAAGCAAGCGUAUAAAAAUAUUUAUGUUGAUGCUUUUAGAAUAUAUAAUUAAAAGGAAUAAAAAUAAAGUUUUGAUAAAAAAAUCUGCAAAAUUUAAGUGAAAUAGCAAGAAACCUUUAUUUAAAUUAAAUAAUUAUUUUAGGAAAGUGUUUAAAAAAUCUACAAAGAAGUAAUAAAGUUCUGAGUGUGUAUGUGUAGCAUCCUCUUAUAAGCGCCUUCCGGUACGUUUCCUUCGUUUUAUGUUUAUUUUGUUACGCUGUACGUUUUUGUUUUUUUGCACCAAUGCGUGUGUUCUUUCGUGCGUAUUUGUGUGAGUGCGUAAUAUAUACAUAUAACGGUAUAUAUGAUUUUAAUAGCAAAAAGUAUUUUUAGCAUUUUAAAUCUAAACGUCCGCCUCUGCCUUCAUCUUUAAACUAUAUAUUUUAAUAAAGAACAAACGUAAAAUGCAGUUUUUAUGCACAAUUCUUCCAAUAUUUUUUUUUUGCAUCAGUCUCUGAUGCAGCAUGCAUAAAAGAAGCAACAGCCAAGAACACCCUUCCAUUAUAAAAAGUGCACACACUACAUGUUCGAAAUAAUGAAAAGGAAUAAUAAAAUAAUUGUUUUUUUUUCAUAAAAUAAAAAAGUGAAAACCUAAUAAUAAUUGGUCGACUAUAUGAUAACCUAUAGAAUUAUUUGGAUUCUAGUUCAGCCCAAACGCGUAAUACUCUCCACACUUAACUGGUGUAGGGUAUAAUAAAAAUAAAAACUCACCCAAAGAAUAAAAUCUACAGCAAAUUGUUGGUGCACGUACAUAUAUAACAGAUAGAAUAAUUUCGUAUGUGAAAUAUGUAGCAAGUGUUCAUAUGUAAGUUUGAGAAUAUUUUUGUUCGCUCAACAUGUGAAUUGUAAAAAAUAAAACCAAAACAAAAACAGAAAAAAAUAUUUUUAAAAGUGAAAAGAAAGCAAUAAAAUUACAAGUAAAAUUGAAAUUCAAGUGUAUAACAUAUGUGAGGAUUUCGAAUUUAUUAAACGAAACACAAAGGAAUUUUUAAAAAUAGAAUUAAAAAAACUACAUCCUCGCAUAAAAUUCAAUUUAAAGUGUAAUCAAAAAUUAAAAAAAAUAUAAAAUAAUAUUCUUAAGCAAGCCAAAUUGCAACCCCUGCAACUAUUCAAUUAAAAAACGAUUUUUCACCAUUUUAUCUUCAUCGACAUCUUCAGCAAGUUAAUUUGCUUAAAGUUU